GAUGAAGAACUCAGCGAAAUGCGAUAAGUAAUGUGAAUUGCAGAAUUCAGUGAAUCAUCGAAUCUUUGAACGCACAUUGCGCCCCCUGGUAUUCCGGGGGGCAUGCCUGUCCGAGCGUCAUUACAACCCUCAAGCUCAGCUUGGUGUUGGGCCCCGCCGCCCCGGCGGGCCCUAAAGUCAGUGGCGGUGCCGUCCGGCUCCGAGCGUAGUAAUUCUUCUCGCUCUGGAGGUCCGGUCGUGUGCUCGCCAGCAACCCCCAAUUUUUUUCAGGUUGACCUCGGAUCAGGUAGGGAUACCCGCUGAACUUAAGCAUAUUAAUAAGCGGAGGA
RNAcentral lists this unclassified non-coding RNA (329 nucleotides) under soil metagenome. RNAcentral's name for it is "partial contains 5.8S ribosomal RNA, internal transcribed spacer 2, and large subunit ribosomal RNA". The stretch from base 1 to 120 matches the Rfam family "5.8S ribosomal RNA", at positions 35 to 154 of the family's 154-position model. The record is from RNAcentral.